UUCUGUGCAGCUGAAGAGUAGCAGUCCAGCCUGAAAGUGCUCCUGAAUCUAUAAUUUUCUUUAAGGUCCAAUAAGUUAGUUGGACUUUUAUAUUAAUUUAGGACCUAGUUGUUAAUUCAGUUUAUUCAUAUGGCUAAACUGCCCAUGAAUUUUUCCCAGAUGAGCAUUAAUGAAAUUGGAAUUUCAUUAAGAUCUUCAGGAAUGUGUUGUUAAUCAAAUUCUCUUAAAAUGUAUCAUGAACAUUAAUAUAUCACAUGACUGUCUCACAUUGCUGAUGGACUUCAAAAGUAAGUGUUUAUGUAAAAUGAUUGGUUGCAAGAAGAGACAAUGCUUCAAAUUCCUUGCUGAAAUAAAUCAUAUAGAAAAACAGUUCUAUCUCUAUGACAACCUUGCUGCUUGCUGUAUUGUGGGCAGAGUUAACAUAGUUUUAAUGCAACUUGAUUAUAAGAAAAUGUAUAUUUUGACAUACCUCUCUCUUAGCUGAAAUGGUUAGCAAAAAACUUAAGUGGUCGAUGAAAACCCAACCCUUAAUCAGCCUAAGGAUCAUGAUUUCUCUAUUGAGGUUGUCUUCUUCCAUCCCAAGACAUACCUUUUUUUGUCAAAGAAGCACUUAGGUUUGACUCGAAGUUUAUUGUAGACAAUCAGUGCAGCCUAGCUAAUGCUGUUUGUGGAAUAAAAAACCACCUCACUACUGUGGAUUCCACUUACAUUGAGAAAUAAAAAAAUGAGAUGAAUGGCAGUUCAUUCAUAUUUUAAAUCCAGAAAUCAGCCCAACACAGAUUAGCUAUUGAUUGCAAGAAUGAAGCAAUGCAUAAAAUAGGCAAGUGUAUGGUUGAUUUUGGAGCAUAUCAUUGCAAUCAGAGUAAACAAAAACAGAAAUAUUUUACUUAUCCAUAUAUAGGAGUAUUGCAGAUUAUUCACUGAGUAUAUCAAUACUAUUAAGUGCAUUGUGUUGAUUAUUGAUCUCACAAAUAAGAUUAGAAGAGAGGUUUAUAAAAUAUGUAACCUCCCAGAAGGUUACAUAUUUCAUCUACUAGUAUAGGCAGACUUAUAAUGCUGCUCCGAGAUUAUACAGUUAAAUUAAAUGCCACAAGCCUUCCUUGGAGAUCAAACGUAUCAUUGAAAAGUA
Molecule: long non-coding RNA, 1129 nt
Filed under: Androctonus crassicauda
Lineage: Eukaryota; Metazoa; Arthropoda; Arachnida; Scorpiones; Buthidae
Source: RNAcentral